Molecule: ribosomal RNA, 253 nt
Filed under: uncultured bacterium
Lineage: Bacteria
Description: partial 16S ribosomal RNA
Rfam family: Bacterial small subunit ribosomal RNA
Source: RNAcentral
UACGUAGGUGGCAAGCGUUGUCCGGAUUUACUGGGCGUAAAGAGCGCGCAGGCGGUCGUUCAAGUCGCGUGUGAAAGCCCCCGGCUCAACUGGGGAGGGUCACGCGAUACUGAUCGACUCGAAGGCAGGAGAGGGUAGUGGAAUUCCCGGUGUAGUGGUGAAAUGCGUAGAUAUCGAGAGGAACACCUGCGGCGAAGGCGGGUUGCUGGGCCGACACUGACGCUGAUGCGCGAAAGCCAGGGGAGCGAACGGG